This 693-nucleotide ribosomal RNA is filed under the name Paenibacillus odorifer. RNAcentral describes it as "bacterial LSU rRNA". It matches the Rfam family "Bacterial large subunit ribosomal RNA", at positions 1 to 687 of the family's 2925-position model. The record is from RNAcentral. Lineage: Bacteria; Bacillati; Bacillota; Bacilli; Caryophanales; Paenibacillaceae.
AGGUUAAGCUAAUAAGAGCACACGGAGGAUGCCUAGGCGCCAGGAGCCGACGAAGGACGUGGCGAACAACGAAACUGCCUCGGGGAGCUGUAAGCAAGCUUUGAUCCGGGGGUGUCCGAAUGGGGAAACCCAGCUGUGGUAAUUCGCAGUUACUCAUUUCUGAAUACAUAGGAAAUGUAGAGGCAGACCAGGGGAACUGAAACAUCUAAGUACCCUGAGGAAGAGAAAACAAUAGUGAUUCCGUCAGUAGCGGCGAGCGAACGCGGAACAGCCUAAACCUAAGAGCUUGCUCUUAGGGGUUGUGGGACGUCUCACAUGGAGUUACAAAGGAAUAUGGUAGGUGAAGAGGUCUGGAAAGGCCCGCGAUAGAGGUAAAAGCCCUGUAACCUAAACUGUAUUCUCUCCGAGACGGAUCCCGAGUAGUGCGGGGCACGUGAAACCCCGUAUGAAUCCAGCAGGACCAUCUGCUAAGGCUAAAUACUACCUGGCGACCGAUAGUGAAACAGUACCGUGAGGGAAAGGUGAAAAGCACCCCGGAAGGGGAGUGAAAUAGAACCUGAAACCGUGUGCUUACAAAAAGUCAGAGCCCGAUCUAUGGGUGAUGGCGUGCCUUUUGUAGAAUGAACCGGCGAGUUACGUUUAACAUGCAAGGUUAAGCCGAGAAGGUGGAGCCGCAGCGAAAGCGAGUCUGAA